AGUCGAGCGGACAGAAGGGAGCUUGCUCCCGGAUGUUAGCGGCGGACGGGUGAGUAACACGUGGGUAACCUGCCUGUAAGACUGGGAUAACUCCGGGAAACCGGAGCUAAUACCGGAUAGUUCCUUGAACCGCAUGGUUCAAGGAUGAAAGACGGUUUCGGCUGUCACUUACAGAUGGACCCGCGGCGCAUUAGCUAGUUGGUGGGGUAAUGGCUCACCAAGGCGACGAUGCGUAGCCGACCUGAGAGGGUGAUCGGCCACACUGGGACUGAGACACGGCCCAGAGUCCUACGGGAGGCAGCAGUAGGGAAUCUUCCGCAAUGGACGAAAGUCUGACGGAGCAACGCCGCGUGAGUGAUGAAGGUUUUCGGAUCGUAAAGCUCUGUUGUUAGGGAAGAACAAGUGCGAGAGUAACUGCUCGCACCUUGACGGUAACUAACCAGAAAGCCACGGCUAACUACGUGCCAGCAGCCGCGGUAAUACGUAGGUGGCAAGCGUUGUCCGGAAUUAUUGGGCGUAAAGGGCUCGCAGGCGGUUUCUUAAGUCUGAUGUGAAAGCCCCCGGCUCAACCGGGGAGGGUCAUUGGAAACUGGGAAACUUGAGUGCAGAAGAGGAGAGUGGAAUUCCACGUCUAGCGGUGAAAUGCGUAGAGAUGUGGAGGAACACCAGUGGCGAAGGCGACUCUCUGGUCUGUAACUGACGCUGAGGAGCGAAAGCGUGGGGAGCGAACAGGAUUAGAUACCCUGGUAGUCCACGCCGUAAACGAUGAGUGCUAAGUGU
This 780-nucleotide ribosomal RNA is filed under the name Bacillus safensis. Its description in RNAcentral is "bacterial SSU rRNA". It matches the Rfam family "Bacterial small subunit ribosomal RNA", at positions 60 to 823 of the family's 1533-position model. Lineage: Bacteria; Bacillati; Bacillota; Bacilli; Caryophanales; Bacillaceae. The record is from RNAcentral.